This 496-nucleotide ribosomal RNA is filed under the name uncultured bacterium. RNAcentral's name for it is "partial 16S ribosomal RNA". It matches the Rfam family "Bacterial small subunit ribosomal RNA", at positions 28 to 507 of the family's 1533-position model. The record is from RNAcentral.
GAUGAACGCUGGCGGCGUGCCUAAUACAUGCAAGUCGAGCGAACGGACGAGAAGCUUGCUUCUCUGAUGUUAGCGGCGGACGGGUGAGUAACACGUGGAUAACCUACCUAUAAGACUGGGAUAACUUCGGGAAACCGGAGCUAAUACCGGUAAUAAUUUUAACCGCCAUGUUUCAAAAGUAAAAGAGGGUCUUCCUUUACCUAUAAGUUGGACCGCGCUGCAUUAGCUAGUUGGUAAGGUAACGGCUUACCAAGGCAACGAUGCAUAGCCGACCUGAGAGGGUGAUCGGCCACACUGGAACUGAGACACGGUCCAGACUCCUACGGGAGGCAGCAGUAGGGAAUCUUCCGCAAUGGGCGAAAGCCUGACGGAGCAACGCCGCGUGAGUGAUGAAGGUCUUCGGAUCGUAAAACUCUGUUAUUAGGGAAGAACAUAUGUGUAAGUAACUGUGCACAUCUUGACGGUACCUAAUCAGAAAGCCACGGCUAACUACGUG